GACAGAGGGUGCAAACGUUGUUCGGAAUUACUGGGCGUAAAGCGCGUGUAGGCGGCUCUGUAAGUCGGGUGUGAAAUCCCACGGCUCAACCGUGGAAGUGCACUCGAAACUACAGGGCUAGAGUCCUGGAGAGGAAGGUGGAAUGCUUGGUGUAGAGGUGAAAUUCGUAGAUAUCAAGCGGAACACCGGUGGCGAAGGCGGCCUUCUGGACAGUGACUGACGCUGAGACGCGAAAGCGUGGGGAGCAAACAGG
Molecule: ribosomal RNA, 253 nt
Filed under: uncultured bacterium
Lineage: Bacteria
Also listed under: 1 other name
Description: partial 16S ribosomal RNA
Rfam family: Bacterial small subunit ribosomal RNA
Source: RNAcentral